GUAACUAACUGGAAACGGUAGCUAAUACCGCAUAACGUCGCAAGACCAAAGAGGGGGACCUUCGGGCCUCUUGCCAUCAGAUGUGCCCAGAUGGGAUUAGCUAGUAGGUGGGGUAACGGCUCACCUAGGCGACGAUCCCUAGCUGGUCUGAGAGGAUGACCAGCCACACUGGAACUGAGACACGGUCCAGACUCCUACGGGAGGCAGCAUG
This 211-nucleotide ribosomal RNA is filed under the name uncultured bacterium. RNAcentral describes it as "partial 16S ribosomal RNA". It matches the Rfam family "Bacterial small subunit ribosomal RNA", at positions 143 to 353 of the family's 1533-position model. The record is from RNAcentral.